Long non-coding RNA from Amphiprion ocellaris (clown anemonefish), 1144 nucleotides. The record is from Ensembl. Lineage: Eukaryota; Metazoa; Chordata; Actinopteri; Pomacentridae.
CUUUCUUUUAUUUAUUGAUUUCCAUGCAGAAGCUCUCAUCUGCGACUGCGACUCUUUGGGAUGGAUUAAAUGUUUACCGAGAACGCUUCGGUCUUUGAAACGUUCAUGUCGUUGCCAGGCGCUCUCUUUCCAGUAAGAAUGUUCUUUUAGGCAUGGUACUGUCUGCUCUUCCAAAUAACUUUAAUCUGACACCGUCUGCUGCAGGGCAUUUGUAAUGACUGUUCUUUGAAACAUCCUGAGCACAAACUAGUUAUCCAGCAUGUUAGGGGUUCACUACAUUAGCAUUUCUUAAUAGCAACACUUAAAACAACUGUAAAAUUAACUUAUGUGGUGGGUGGCGUGUUUAAAAUUGAGCCUGUCCAGUGAUAUUUGAGUGUAACUUAAGUAUUUAAAUGGCCUAAGGCUGCUGAAUGAAAUCUUUUCUAAAUGAGCUGCUUUUUGUAACCUUUCAGCGGUAGCAGCAACUGAAUGUCUUUUCUUUUUUUGUUCUUUUUUUUUUUUUUAAUCCAUGAUGUAAGAUCAGGAGUGCUUUACAAUAAUGUAACACCGGGUUUCUUGUGAAUCAAUGUAAAAAGUGCAUCACCACUCAGAGGACCCACUGUCCUGGAGGACUUUUCCCUGUUAGGAAAGAAAUUUGAAUCAGUUUUGCAUAGGUGUGGUGUCUCCCAAAGAUAACUGUGUUCAUCUGAUAUCUAAUGGAGGAGGAAACAAUUGCCACACUUCAUGGAAACCCCUGUUAAAACGGACCCCAACAGCUUCACCACACAUGCAAGAGGCUGCGCAGCCUCUGGAGACCUGCAGGGGCGCCAGAGGGGGGAAUCCAGACUUAACACAGCUGUUUGUUUCACAGAAGAAGAGAGUGAGCGAGCUGUAUCAGAGUAGUUUCUUUAUCUUUUUUGUCUUUUCAUAUCUGUAGGUGAAUUGCAAUACUUGUGUCUAUAGUUUCUGAGGUGUCAGGGGUGUUCAGUUUGCAAUAAAUGGUAUAUUCUGCUGUGUACAGUUACAUUUUUUUUAAUUACAAAAAUUGUACUUGUUUCUAUUUUUUGUGUGAUGGUUUCAAAAAGAACAAAAUUAUUUUAAAGUGUAAAGGAAAUCUUAGUAUUUUUUUAGUUUUUUGUCUUAAACUAUUGAUGCAGGAUUUAUU